Ovis aries (sheep) is the source of this 57-nucleotide non-coding RNA. The record is from Rfam. NCBI's taxonomy places the organism in Eukaryota, Metazoa, Chordata, Mammalia, Artiodactyla, Bovidae.
UGGCUCAGAGGGUAAAGCAUCUGCCUGUAAUGCAGGAGACCCAGGUUUGAUCCCUGG